AAUGGCGGCUGCCCGCCGCCAUCUCGCGGAGCGGGCCUGCGGAGCUGCGCCUUGGCGAAGGGAAAGCUGCGCUCCGGAGGAGCUGUGAGCGCACCUCUCCUGCCAGGGCUGCCCUGCCCGGCCGCGGGCUCGCCCCAGGGACAGCCCGGGGAGCGCGUCCCUCGCUGAGCCGUGCCCGGUUAUGGACUGCCGGCACCCUACGGCUCCGUGCGGUCCGUCCCACACUGCUGUGGGCGCCGGGCGAAAAUAACCCAACGCGGGUAAAGAUUAAGCGGAAUGUUGAGCGAAAGUAUCUGCAUCCCUCUGUUUACAUUUUCCUAUCUUAGUUUUUCCUGGGACUGAAGGAAAUGGGAUUUCUGCUGCUGCAUUAGACAGGGACGCUGGCAGGCAGGGCUGCACCGCGGCGCCAGCAGAAAUUCUCUUUCAGAAAGCUUAUUCCUAAGGGAAACGCAGCAGACUUCCAGCAGCUCGUUCUUCUUUUCACUCGCUUUUCCUGACAGAUUCAUUGAGCUCCGAGAAAGAUCACUUGCCCAAAGCUCUGUGCUGAAACCAGUGAAAAGACAGCUUCCUCCUGAGGCAUAUGCCAAACUUUCAUAAUCUGUCUCGAAACAUUCUGGAAAAUCAUGCUCAAUGUCUGAACUGCUGUCCUACAUUGCAGAAGUUGUCAGCAGAUUGGAAAGUGCUAUUUCAGCUGCAACUUUAAAUUUACCCACACUAAGCCCAACGAACUGUGGUUUUCCUGGGGAGGAAAAGGAAAAAAAAAAAUUCAUGUAUGAAAAAAUUAAUUUUUUUUUUCCAGGAGUAGAAUACAGCAGCGCCUGCAAUAGGACAAAUCUUGAUUGCCCACUCACACUUCUGUUGUCUAUGUAGUAGACAGAGGCAACAGAGGAAAGAUAAAGUCAAUUCCUUGUGACAGAAAUGAAAUUUCACCAUGUUUAGUAAUCUCUUAUCUGCUCUCUCCUAAAUAAACAAUCAGUGUCUGCAGGACCACAACAAGACAUUUAAGCUUUCUCAACUAAACGUGACAGGUCCACAAGUGUACUGUAAAAGGAAAGGUCUGGUCAGCAACAGCUGGAUUACAGGAUAUAUGUAGAAUUUGCAGAUUCUACAGAAUCUGCAGUCUCAAACUAUUUCCCUGAGGAUGUGUGAUUGGACUAGAUAAUAUUUCUUCCUCAUCAUUCUUGGAAGGGAGCUACUACUGAAGAGUCAAAGACCCCCCUUCUUUCUGCUGUGGAUGAUCCUGCAGUCCUAGGCUAGACCUACAGGUAGAAAUGCUUGUCUCACUACUUGAUUGAUGAGGUAUGAGGUACUCUCUGAAGAUUUAUAUACUUUUUAGUUUUCAGAAUAUAUCUAAAAAUGUCUUUUGAACUGAAAUCUGGUAAGGUCUACUGACCAGCAGUAGUUUGCUCUCAAGAUUAGGCAUUUUGGAUCACUGCCAGAUAAACAGGGGCUGAGCAUAUGCUGGAGACAGCAGUCUGCAGGCUCUUGGGAGAUCCAGAAUCCAUUUUCCAAAAAGGUUUUCAAGGAAGAAAGUAGUUGAGAAAAUUAGUGUCUUGAUAGGCAAAGGUGUGGGUCAUGGGACUGGAAGGAGUUGUUUCUGUUGCCUACUGAAACAUAACUCUUCCCUAUUAUCUUGUCUCUCUUAUACCCUUAAACAGUUCCAGGUCCAACUACUCCUUCAAGGUUUAAGACACUGUUUAGAAAAAAACACUGAAAGGCAAGCAUACAUUUUGGACUGAAGUUAAAUGUUAAUAUGACAAAGUCAAAUAUAUGCUUUAUAUAAAUAGUUGAUCUUUGGAAGUAAGUUUCCUUUGGGGAGAAAGGAAGGGGAGAAAAAAAAAUACUACACAAUGCAAGAGAGAUUCCAGAAUUCCAGUGGCUAUUCAUGAUAAAAUUCUUGAGGGCAUUUUUUUAAAGCUUAUCUGUAAUGGUGAUUUCCUCUGCAAGACUGGGAAAGUACUUGAAUAAUAGAAAGGUGUCCUGAGGUCUAGUACAUCAUUUUACCAGGUGUGCAAACUUGAGGUCAGUGCUCGACUCUCCCUGAUGAUAUGCAGAAAUAGGGUUGAGGAAUUAUGGCACACAAAAGCAAUUUUGCUAUGACUGAUGGAAGAAAAAAUAAUGUAUGGAAACCUGGGGAGAGGAGAAGAAAUAGAAAGAUUUCAAGGUAGGAACCUGGACCUUCCUCUUGCACUCUCUCCAACAGGCUUAAAGAGUAUUGUGAUGCUGGAAAAUGCAUGGAAAUUGCCAAGAAGACCUGACUGUUCUCCCCCGUCUACCACUGUCACACAAAACAAUAAACAACUUUUAAAAAACAAUUUUCCUAUAAUGACAAAGUUGGUAACAUGUCUUGUAUGACAGUUCAGACAAAGUUAGAAUUGCUGUAGAUAUCAAGUUUAAUGAGAAUUUACAGAAGCAAAACUAAGGUAGUUUAGAAAAGUGUUUCCCCAUAUAACUGAAAAGAAAAAAAUCAAGUAAAUAAAUCUCAUAAACACUUCCUAGAAUAUCUUUUUCUCAUUUUCUGUCAUAGCUUUCAGGUCAGAUUGCAUGGAUUAAAAAUUCUGCUCGUACUGAAAGCAGGACAACUUAGUAUCUGAAUCUGAAGAUGCUACAUCAUUCUUGGAAGACUGUGGGAAACAAAUAUAGAUGGGCUCUUUAUAUAGGAAGGCAAACCUCAUGAAGUACCAAAAUAUUCUGUGGAAAAUGUACUUGUCCAUCUUGCCUAAAAAUAUGAAACUUGUUACAGAAAUGCACCUUCAAAUUUAAUCACUGCUCUUUAUUUUGUGCCAGGUCUUUAUCAGUCACACAAUUAAUAGUGUACCACCUAUCACAUUUCUAUUACCAAGCCCUACAUGCUCAUUGUGACAGUUUUUUUCUAAAUUUAAUUAGUUUUGAUUUAUGUGGCCAUUGAGAAAAUUAGGAUCUAUGAGAAACAGAGCUUGAAUCUGCUCUGAGUCAAUGUUAUGGAGAGAAAGAUUAGCAUUAGAAAAUAAACAUGGCAGUUCCACUGUGUAGCACCUUCUCGAGAAAAUAUAUACCCAUUUUUAGCUGCCAUGCAAGUGCUGUUGGCUUUGUAACUGACUGUGAACAUGUGAGAACAAAAAAAUGAUGCUGUGUCAGUGUGUGGGCUGCAACUGAGAACUCCUGGCUCAUACAUUUUGCCCCAUAAGCAGUUCUGGCAUUGUAUGCAGUCUUAUUGCUGUUUUCUUUGUCCUCAUUGAUCCUGCUAUACUGUUACUCACAUUUUGGGCUCCCAACUUUCUAUAAAAAAAACUCUGUAAUUUAAUUCACUGUCUUUUUGGUAGAACAUUCUGACCACUAAUUCUUCUAAGCUCAUUAUUCUCUUUUUUUUUUCUAGGCCUAAGGACUAAAGACGUAAACAUCUUUAAACAUUUUUUUUUUCUUUCCUAAAUCUUCCCUCUGUGAUAUUGAAGAAUCAUAAAGUAUCAUCACCAAACACAAUUUUGUAUCUGGAAAAUGCAUUGAAAUCACCUAUGUAACCUGCAUGAAAAGUAAAUAAAUUUGUCUUACAUUAUGCAUGAACUAUA
Taeniopygia guttata (zebra finch) is the source of this 3545-nucleotide long non-coding RNA. RefSeq lists it as uncharacterized. Lineage: Eukaryota; Metazoa; Chordata; Aves; Passeriformes; Estrildidae. The record is from RefSeq and is a predicted model, not a curated record.